ACUCAAAUGAAUUGACGGGGGCCCGCACAAGCGGUGGAGCAUGUGGUUCAAUUCGACGCAACGCGAAGAACCUUACCGGGGUUUGAACUGUACGGGACAGCUGCAGAGAUGUGGUCUUCCUUCGGGACCCGUAUAGAGGUGCUGCAUGGCUGUCGUCAGCUCGUGUCGUGAGAUGUUGGGUUAAGUCCCGCAACGAGCGCAACCCUUGCCUCCUGUUGCCAACGGGUAAUGCCGGGCACUCUGGAGGUACUGCCGGCGAUAAGCCGGAGGAAGGUGGGGAUGACGUCAAGUCCUCAUGGCCUUUAUGCCCCGGGCUACACACGUGCUACAAUGGCUGGUACAGAGGGUCGCAAAACCGUGAGGUGGAGCUAAUCCCAAAAAACCAGUCCCAGUUCGGAUUGGAGUCUGCAACUCGACUCCAUGAAGUUGGAAUCGCUAGUAAUCGCGGAUCAGCACGCCGCGGUGAAUACGUUCCCGGGCCUUGCACACACCGCCCGU
RNAcentral lists this ribosomal RNA (498 nucleotides) under uncultured bacterium. RNAcentral describes it as "partial 16S ribosomal RNA". It matches the Rfam family "Bacterial small subunit ribosomal RNA", at positions 899 to 1397 of the family's 1533-position model. The record is from RNAcentral.